UAAUGUAUGGGGAUCUGCCCGAUAGAGGGGGAUAACUACUGGAAACGGUGGCUAAUACCGCAUAAUGUCUACGGACCAAAGCAGGGGCUCUUCGGACCUUGCACUAUCGGAUGAACCCAUAUGGGAUUAGCUAGUAGGUGGGGGAAGGGCUCACCUAGGCGACGAUCUCUAGCUGGUCUGAGAGGAUGAUCAGCCACACUGGGACUGAGACACGGCCCAG
This 220-nucleotide ribosomal RNA is filed under the name uncultured bacterium. RNAcentral describes it as "partial 16S ribosomal RNA". It matches the Rfam family "Bacterial small subunit ribosomal RNA", at positions 111 to 334 of the family's 1533-position model. The record is from RNAcentral.